GUUAUUUUAGUUACUGAUUGAAUUUAAAUUUAGAAUUUAAAUUGAAAUAUAGGUUUAAUAUAUUUAGUAAUA
This 72-nucleotide transfer RNA is filed under the name Aclerda takahashii. RNAcentral's name for it is "tRNA-Leu". Lineage: Eukaryota; Metazoa; Arthropoda; Insecta; Hemiptera; Aclerdidae. The record is from RNAcentral.